This 371-nucleotide ribosomal RNA is filed under the name uncultured organism. RNAcentral describes it as "bacterial SSU rRNA". It matches the Rfam family "Bacterial small subunit ribosomal RNA", at positions 527 to 896 of the family's 1533-position model. The record is from RNAcentral.
CGGGGGGGUAAGCGUUGUUCGGAAUUACUGGGCGUAAAGGGCGCGUAGGCGGUUGGAUAAGUCAGCUGUGAAAACCACGGGCUUAACUCGUGGCCUGCAGUUGAGACUGUCUGGCUUGAGUGUGGGAGAGGAGAGUGGAAUUCCUGGUGUAGCGGUGAAAUGCGUAGAUAUCAGGAGGAACACCGGUGGCGAAGGCGGCUCUCUGGACCACAACUGACGCUGAGGCGCGAAAGCUAGGGGAGCAAACAGGAUUAGAUACCCUGGUAGUCCUAGCUGUAAACGAUGGAUACUUGCUGUGGGGGGUGUUAAAUCCCCCUGUGGCGGAGCUAACGCAUUAAGUAUCCCGCCUGGGGAGUACGGUCGCAAGGCUG